This is a long non-coding RNA of Mauremys reevesii (Reeves's turtle), 88 nucleotides long. RefSeq lists it as uncharacterized. The transcript is spliced from 3 exons. The record is from RefSeq and is a predicted model, not a curated record. NCBI's taxonomy places the organism in Eukaryota, Metazoa, Chordata, Testudines, Geoemydidae.
CGCGCAGCAGCAGGCACCAUGCUCAACAGCCUGGCGGAGGGCGAGGACGGCGAGGGGGGGGCGGCCCAAGGUGAUGGGAACCCCAAGG